CAGCAGUGGGGAAUUUUGCGCAAUGGGGGAAACCCUGACGCAGCAACGCCGCGUGGAGGAAGAAGUAUUUCGGUACGUAAACUCCUUUCGAUCGGGACAAUAAUGACGGUACCGAGAGAAGAAGCCCCGGCUAACUUCGUA
RNAcentral lists this ribosomal RNA (141 nucleotides) under uncultured bacterium. RNAcentral's name for it is "partial 16S ribosomal RNA". It matches the Rfam family "Bacterial small subunit ribosomal RNA", at positions 349 to 507 of the family's 1533-position model. The record is from RNAcentral.